AGUGAACGCUGGCGGUAGGCCUAACACAUGCAAGUCGAACGGCAGCACAGUAAGAGCUUGCUCUUACGGGUGGCGAGUGGCGGACGGGUGAGGAAUACAUCGGAAUCUACUUUUUCGUGGGGGAUAACGUAGGGAAACUUACGCUAAUACCGCAUACGACCUACGGGUGAAAGCAGGGGAUCUUCGGACCUUGCGCGAUUGAAUGAGCCGAUGUCGGAUUAGCUAGUUGGCGGGGUAAAGGCCCACCAAGGCGACGAUCCGUAGCUGGUCUGAGAGGAUGAUCAGCCACACUGGAACUGAGACACGGUCCAGACUCCUACGGGAGGCAGCAGUGGGGAAUAUUGGACAAUGGGCGUAAGCCUGAUCCAGCCAUACCGCGUGGGUGAAGAAGGCCUUCGGGUUGUAAAGCCCUUUUGUUGGGAAAGAAAAGCAGCAGGUUAAUACCCCGCUGUUCUGACGGUACCCAAAGAAUAAGCACCGGCUAACUUCG
RNAcentral lists this ribosomal RNA (490 nucleotides) under uncultured bacterium. RNAcentral describes it as "partial 16S ribosomal RNA". It matches the Rfam family "Bacterial small subunit ribosomal RNA", at positions 29 to 505 of the family's 1533-position model. The record is from RNAcentral.